GGCCGAGAGUAAGGCGGGGCAACGGGCAGGGAGGUGCUUAACAGUUCUGUCAUGCCUCAUAAAUUACAUCUGUUUUUUUUUUUUAAUCUGUUGCAUUUAACAUCUAUAUAGAUAGCAUAUUCUUCUAUAAUUACAAUAUGGAAAUGUCUAUGACCAAAUAAACUUUUUGUCAUAUGUUGAGGAAAGAACGGUGGUAGUAGUGAAAGUCGCUGGGUCGCAUCCGACUCUGCGACCCCAUGGUCUAUACAGUCCAUGGAAUUCUCCAGGCCAGAAUACUGGAGUGGGUAGUAUUUCCUUUCUGCGUGGCAUCUUCCCAAACCAGGGAUCUAACCCAGGUCUCCCGCCUUGCAGGCGGAUUCUUUACCACCUGAGCCACAAGGGAAGCCCUGUUAGUAAGAUUCAUCCAGUGUUUUAGCAACAACAUCUAAGCAGCCACGCCUCCUGGAAAUUUUGAGGAUUUGGGUCACUUUGCUCUCCCCCUCCGGAUGCGAGGAAAACAUGCACUGGGCACAGUGGAGAGGAGGAAGCUGGCGGGUUCCGCGGACCAGAGGCGCUGCUGCGGCGGGGCUCCACGCCGCCAUGCCCGCAGAGGCGGCCGGCCUUCCCAGCUGGAAGGCCAAACUCCACAUGGCUCGGUUCCAGAGACACAAGGUCAAAACCUACAGUCUGAGACUGGAGGACUAAGAGCCAUCUGAAGUGUGUGGAGAAG
Long non-coding RNA from Bos taurus (domestic cattle), 709 nucleotides. The record is from Ensembl. NCBI's taxonomy places the organism in Eukaryota, Metazoa, Chordata, Mammalia, Artiodactyla, Bovidae.